This 499-nucleotide ribosomal RNA is filed under the name uncultured bacterium. RNAcentral's name for it is "partial 16S ribosomal RNA". It matches the Rfam family "Bacterial small subunit ribosomal RNA", at positions 28 to 507 of the family's 1533-position model. The record is from RNAcentral.
GACGAACGCUGGCGGCGUGCUUAACACAUGCAAGUCGAACGGGCCUGUCUUCUUUUUUGGGGGUGGGUUGAGUGGCGAACGGGUGAGUAUCACGUGAGUAACCUGCCCUUCGGUCCUGGAUAACCGCUUGAAAGGGCGGCUAAUACGGGGUGGUCCGGUUGGUCCGCAUGGGCUGGUCGGGAUAGAUUCACUGUUUUUGGUGUUUCGGCGGGGGAUGGGCUCGCGGCCUAUCAGCUUGUUGGUGGGGUGAUGGCCUACCAAGGCGGUGACGGGUAGCCGGCCUGGGAGGGUGGGCGGCCGCACUGGGACUGGGAUACGGCCCAGACUCCUGCGGGAGGCAGUAGUGGGGGGUAUUGCGCAGUGGUCGGAAGCCUGAUGCAGCGACGUCGCGUGAGGGAUGGAGGCCUUCGGGUUGUGAACCUCUGUUUCCGGUGGUGAAGGCCCUGUCCGUGUGGUGGGGUUGACGGUAGCCGGGGAUGAAGCGCCGGCUAACUACGUG